GAUGAACGCUGGCGGCGUGCCUAAUACAUGCAAGUCGAGCGAACAGACGAGGAGUUUGUUCCCCUGAUGUUUGCGGCGGACGGGUGAGUAACACGUGGAUAACCUAUCUAUACGACUGGGAUAAAUUCGGGAAAACGGCGCUAAUAGCGGAUAAUAUAUUGAACCGGAUGGUUCAAUAGUGAGAGACGGUUUUGCUGUUACUUAUAGAUGGAUCCGUGUCGUAUUAGCUGGUUGGUAAGGUAAAGGCUUACGAAGGCAACGAUGCGUAGCCGACCUGAGGGGGUGAUCGGCCACACUGGAACUGAGACACGGUCCAGACUCCUACGGGGGGCAGCAGUAGGGAAUCUUCCGCAAUGGGCGAAAUCCUAACGGAGCAACGCCGCUGGAGUAAUGAAGGUCUUCGGAUCGUAAAACUCUGUUAUUAGGGAAGAACAAAUGGGUAAGUAACUAUGCACAUCUUGACGGUACCUAAUCAGAAAGCCACGGCUAACUACGUG
Molecule: ribosomal RNA, 497 nt
Filed under: uncultured bacterium
Lineage: Bacteria
Description: partial 16S ribosomal RNA
Rfam family: Bacterial small subunit ribosomal RNA
Source: RNAcentral